GCGAAGGAAGGCGCUGCCUCGCGUUGGAGGAGCUUGCUCUGAGCUGCUGCCACCUGCUGGGCUGGAGCUGGAGCUGGAGCUGCGAAUUCGGAGUCCCGGUUCCCUGUGCCACCUGGCGAGCUCAGCAAACUAAAAGUCUCUUUGUCUUCAUCGUUUCCGGCACUGAUGUGAGCACAUCAUAAGCACAAGACCUGGACACCUUUACAAUCAGAGGGCCUAGGACUGGAGCUCUGGAUCUGACCGGAGCAAAGAGGAAGCACGCAAAUCCGGACAUGACGACGAGGAGGCAGUAGAGACCCAUCCUCAACUGUUCUUGUCCUAGAGCCUCUUUCCCUACUUCUAAAUGAGUGGAAAGCCACCCACAAGCCCGUGAGUGAGGAUGCCCUUGGUAAACCCAGGUGAUCACACCCUGGGCAGGCCCUGCCCCACAGGGCCCCAUCCCGCUGCUCCCCAGCCUGUCCUCACCAACUGCCCAGGCAGGAGCAAAGCCCACGGGGAGGACCUGUGACCACAGGCAAGGACCACGGACCCCAGCCCCAGGGAUUUUGACCUCAAGAAAGGAAACAUCCACAAUUUACCCUCCAUCUGGUGAUCCAGCUGCAUCUGGGGUGGGUUUGGUCUCUGCUGGGACCAUGAGGUUCAGACCACCAAGAAAUAGCACUAGCACAGGUGAAAAUCAUGGGCAAACUUUAUUGGCAUAAAUCACAGGAAUUGAAAUGGGAAAAGCCAGCUUGGAAGUUUACAGAGAAAAAAUAAAAUCAAAAUCAAAUUUUCAAAUAA
Molecule: long non-coding RNA, 780 nt
Filed under: Homo sapiens (human)
Lineage: Eukaryota; Metazoa; Chordata; Mammalia; Primates; Hominidae
Source: RNAcentral